GGAUGUGAGGGCAAAUCCACCGUGACUCAUGUCAUCCUAUUGGCAUGAUACCAUUGAGAUGGCUGAGUAGGCGGGUAUCCUCUUCCUUCUUNGCUUCUCCAUGUGGUUCCUCCCCAAGCUGUGCAUUUGGGGGAAGAGGGUGGCCUCAUGGAUAAAGGAAGACUGCUCUUCAGUUAUGUGGAUAUAGUAGCUAUGGUUUCCUACUAGAGCCUCCAAACAAUGUGUCAAUAACGUAUAGACCAUAAGGGCCAGUGAGAUGGCUCAAUGCAAAAAGACAAUAGCCGCCAAGCUUGAGGACCUGACUUUGAUU
This 310-nucleotide small nuclear RNA is filed under the name Neotoma lepida (desert woodrat). RNAcentral's name for it is "7SK RNA". It matches the Rfam family "7SK RNA". From Rfam's summary of the family: 7SK was discovered as an abundant small nuclear RNA in the mid-70s but a possible function has only recently been suggested. The record is from Rfam by way of RNAcentral. Lineage: Eukaryota; Metazoa; Chordata; Mammalia; Rodentia; Cricetidae.